RNAcentral lists this non-coding RNA (30 nucleotides) under Mus musculus (house mouse). Lineage: Eukaryota; Metazoa; Chordata; Mammalia; Rodentia; Muridae. The record is from RNAcentral.
UUUUCUUUAGAGAGUUUGGAGUCAGCAUCU